AAUAUUGGUCAAUAGCCUAACGGCUGAACCAGCAACUUGGAAGAAUGUAUGGCAAUAGCCACUUACAUUAAAACAAAUUUUUAGUGUAAAAUCGACUCUGUUGAAUAAAGUUCUGGAUGGAAUAUUGAUAAUGACAUUUUCUGUCUAUUUGUCUUGACCAAAUUACGUGCCAGCAGUCGCGGUAAUACGUAAAAGACUAGUGUUAUUCAUCUUUAAUAGGUUUAAAGGGUACUUAGACGGUAAAUCAAGCCAAGAAAGAAAAGGUACUAAUUUACUUGAGUAUUAUGUGAGAUGUAUAUAUAGUUGUAUUCUUGAGAGAAGAGAUGAAAUUCUGUCAUCCGUUGAGGUUACGGGUAAAAGCGAAAGCGACCAUCUAUGUAAAUACUGACGUUG
Molecule: ribosomal RNA, 393 nt
Filed under: Rhizocarpon copelandii
Lineage: Eukaryota; Fungi; Ascomycota; Lecanoromycetes; Rhizocarpales; Rhizocarpaceae
Description: SSU rRNA
Rfam family: Bacterial small subunit ribosomal RNA
Source: RNAcentral